RNAcentral lists this ribosomal RNA (245 nucleotides) under Hymenochaetaceae sp. Its description in RNAcentral is "partial 28S ribosomal RNA". It matches the Rfam family "Eukaryotic large subunit ribosomal RNA", at positions 104 to 344 of the family's 3401-position model. Lineage: Eukaryota; Fungi; Basidiomycota; Agaricomycetes; Hymenochaetales; Hymenochaetaceae. The record is from RNAcentral.
AGAGCUCAAAUUUAAAAUCUGGCAGCCUUGCUGUCCGAGUUGUAAUCUGGAGAAGCAUUUUCCGCGUUGGACCGUGUACAAGUCUCUUGGAACAGAGCGUCAUAGAGGGUGAGAAUCCCGUCCAUGGCACGGACUACCAAUGCUUUGUGAUAUGCUCUCGAAGAGUCGAGUUGUUUGGGAAUGCAGCUCAAAAUGGGUGGUAAGUUCCAUCUAAAGCUAAAUAUUGGCGAGAGACCGAUAGCGAA